RNAcentral lists this ribosomal RNA (253 nucleotides) under uncultured bacterium. RNAcentral's name for it is "partial 16S ribosomal RNA". It matches the Rfam family "Bacterial small subunit ribosomal RNA", at positions 524 to 776 of the family's 1533-position model. The record is from RNAcentral.
UACGUAGGGGGCCAACGUUGUCCGGAAUCAUUGGGCGUAAAGCGCGCGUAGGCGGCCAGAUAAGUCCGGUGUGAAAGUCAAAGGCUCAACCUUUGAAUGCCGCUGGAAACUGUCUGGCUUGAGUCCGGAAGGGGCGAGUGGAAUUCCUGGUGCAGCGGUGAAAUGCGCAGAUAUCAGGAGGAACACCAAUGGCGAAGGCAGCUCGCUGGAACGGUACUGACGCUGAGGCGCGAAAGCGUGGGGAGCGAACAGG